This is a long non-coding RNA of Magallana angulata, 259 nucleotides long. RefSeq lists it as uncharacterized. The transcript has 3 exons. The record is from RefSeq and is a predicted model, not a curated record. Lineage: Eukaryota; Metazoa; Mollusca; Bivalvia; Ostreida; Ostreidae.
ACAUUUCCAAAAAACUGGCCAAAACAAUCCAAAAAGUGUACUUGCUUCUUCGACUCUGAAUGAGAAUAAAACCUGCAAUUUCAUAGACGAUGGACAGGCAGGAAAUAUUGUUGAGAAAUGUAAUGAUGUAUCUUGUCAUAACUGGAUCUGCAUGGGGCAAGAAAUUAUUUAAAAACAGACCAGGACACAGUCGUCUGAAUCGUCAACAGCCAGUACGAUGUAGAUAUCAGCAGAAAAGGAAGAUGUCAUUGGAACAUUU